CUGAGCAGGAGGGUGGAGAAACGCCGCGUCUGUUAGCCUGAGCAGGAGGGUGGAGAAACGCCGCGUCUGUUAGCCUGUUAGCCUGAGCAGGUAGGUGGAGAAACGCCGCGUCUGUUAGCCUGUUAGCCUGAGCAGGUAGGUGGAGAAACGCAGCGUCUGUUAGCCUGUUAGUCUGAGCAGGUAGGUGGAGAAACGCCGCGUCUGUUAGUCUGAGCAGGAGGGUGGAGAAACGCCGCGUCUGUUAGCCUGUUAGCCUGAGCAGGUAGGUGGAGAAACGCCGCGUCUGUUAGUCUGUUAGCCUGAGCAGGUAGGUGGAGAAACGCUGCGUCUGUUAGUCUGUUAGUCUGAGCAGGAGGGUGGAGAAACGCCGCGUCUGUUAGCCUGUUAGCCUGAGCAGGUAGGUGGAGAAACGCCGCGUCUGUUAGUCUGUUAGCCUGAGCAGGUAGGUGGAGAAACGCCGCGUCUGUUAGCCUGUUAGCCUGAGCAGGUAGGUGGAGAAACGCCGCGUCUGUUAGCCUGUUAGCAUGAGCAGGUAGGUGGAGAAACGCCGCGUCUGUUAGCCUGUUAGCCUGAGCAGGUAGGUGGAGAAACGCAGCGUCUGUUAGCCUGUUAGUCUGAGCAGGUAGGUGGAGAAACGCCGCGUCUGUUAGUCUGAGCAGGAGGGUGGAGAAACGCCGCGUCUGUUAGCCUGUUAGCCUGAGCAGGUAGGUGGAGAAACGCCGCGUCUGUUAGUCUGUUAGCCUGAGCAGGUAGGUGGAGAAACGCUGCGUCUGUUAGUCUGUUAGUCUGAGCAGGAGGGUGGAGAAACGCCGCGUCUGUUAGCCUGUUAGCCUGAGCAGGAGGGUGGAGAAACGCCGCGUCUGUUAGCCUGUUAGCCUGAGCAGGUAGGUGGAGAAACGCCGCGUCUGUUAGUCUGUUAGCCUGAGCAGGUAGGUGGAGAAACGCCGCGUCUGUUAGUCUGUUAGUCUGAGCAGGAGGGUGGAGAAACGCCGCGUCUGUUAGCCUGUUAGCCUGAGCAGGUAGGUGGAGAAACGCCGCGUCUGUUAGUCUGUUAGCCUGAGCAGGUAGGUGGAGAAACGCCGCGUCUGUUAGUCUGUUAGCCUGAGCAGGUAGGUGGAGAAACGCCGCGUCUGUUAGUCUGUUAGUCUGAGCAGGAGGGUGGAGAAACGCCGCGUCUGUUAGCCUGUUAGCCUGAGCAGGAGGGUGGAGAAACGCCGCGUCUGUUAGCCUGUUAGCCUGAGCAGGUAGGUGGAGAAACGCCGCGUCUGUUAGUCUGUUAGCCUGAGCAGGUAGGUGGAGAAACGCCGCGUCUGUUAGUCUGUUAGUCUGAGCAGGAGGGUGGAGAAACGCCGCGUCUGUUAGCCUGUUAGCCUGAGCAGGUAGGUGGAGAAACGCCGCGUCUGUUAGUCUGUUAGCCUGAGCAGGUAGGUGGAGAAACGCCGCGUCUGUUAGUCUGUUAGCCUGAGCAGGUAGGUGGAGAAACGCCGCGUCUGUUAGUCUGUUAGUCUGAGCAGGAGGGUGGAGAAACGCCGCGUCUGUUAGCCUGUUAGCCUGAGCAGGUAGGUGGAGAAACGCCGCGUCUGUUAGUCUGAGCAGGUAGGUGGAGAAACGCAGCGUCUGUUAGCCUGUUAGCAUGAGCAGGUAGGUGGAGAAACGCCGCGUCUGUUAGCCUGUUAGCAUGAGCAGGUAGGUGGAGAAACGCCGCGUCUGUUAGCCUGUUAGCAUGAGCAGGUAGGUGGAGAAACGCCGCGUCUGUUAGUCUGUUAGCCUGAGCAGGAGGGUGGAGAAACGCCGCGUCUGUUAGCCUGUUAGUCUGAGCAGGAGGGUGGAGGUAACCAGAUGGGUUGGAUUGGUGGCAGACAGCAGCUUUCACCCAUGAAGCUUUGAGGGCCGUACCCUAACCACAC
This is a long non-coding RNA of Cyprinodon tularosa, 1907 nucleotides long. RefSeq lists it as uncharacterized. The record is from RefSeq and is a predicted model, not a curated record. The transcript has 3 exons. Lineage: Eukaryota; Metazoa; Chordata; Actinopteri; Cyprinodontiformes; Cyprinodontidae.